AACCCUAGACAGGGGAUCACUUGGCUCAUGGGUCGAUGAAGACCGCAGCAAACUGCGCGUCGCCAUGUGAACUGCAGGACACA
RNAcentral lists this ribosomal RNA (83 nucleotides) under Chironomus plumosus. Its description in RNAcentral is "partial 5.8S rRNA". It matches the Rfam family "5.8S ribosomal RNA", at positions 1 to 83 of the family's 154-position model. Rfam says of the family: 5.8S ribosomal RNA (5.8S rRNA) is a component of the large subunit of the eukaryotic ribosome. It is transcribed by RNA polymerase I as part of the 45S precursor that also contains 18S and 28S rRNA. The record is from RNAcentral. RNAcentral also lists the same sequence under 9 other names. Lineage: Eukaryota; Metazoa; Arthropoda; Insecta; Diptera; Chironomidae.